AAUGAACACUGGUAGUAUGCUUAACACAUGCAAGUUGAACGAAUUAUCUAAAGUAGAUAGUUAGUAGCGAACGGGUGAGUAAUAAAUGAAAACAAUUAUUUUGAUUUGAAAUUAAAAUUUUCAGAUAAACAAUAAUAUUGUAAAGAUUAUAUCGUCAAAAUAAUGGUUCAUUUCGGAUUAGGUAGUUGGUAGUGGUAAUGGCCUACCAAGCCGAAGAUCCGUAGCUGGUUUGAAAGAACGAUCAGCCACAUUGGAACUGAAACACGGUCCAAACUCGAAAGAGGCAGCAGUGAGGAAUUUUGGACAAUGAGCGAAAGCUUGAUCCAGCAAUACUACGUGAGUGAAUUGAAGCAUUUUGGCGUGUAAAACUCUUUAAUUAAGGAAGAUAAUGACGGUACUUAAUCAAAAAGUCCCGGCUAAUUUCUGUGCCAGCAGCCGCGGUAAGGUGCGCGAGU
RNAcentral lists this ribosomal RNA (455 nucleotides) under uncultured bacterium. Its description in RNAcentral is "bacterial SSU rRNA". It matches the Rfam family "Bacterial small subunit ribosomal RNA", at positions 30 to 534 of the family's 1533-position model. The record is from RNAcentral.